Molecule: non-coding RNA, 108 nt
Filed under: Pontibacter ummariensis
Lineage: Bacteria; Pseudomonadati; Bacteroidota; Cytophagia; Cytophagales; Hymenobacteraceae
Description: SAM-I sequence
Rfam family: SAM riboswitch aptamer (S box leader)
About the family: The SAM riboswitch is found upstream of a number of genes which code for proteins involved in methionine or cysteine biosynthesis in Gram-positive bacteria. The SAM riboswitch acts at the level of transcription termination control.
Source: Rfam by way of RNAcentral
GAUUUAUAAAGAAGAGUGGAGAGACAGGCUCUGUGAAACUCUAGCAACCUAACUAACGAGGUUAAGGUGCUAAUUCCUGAUUCCGGAACGUCCGGAAGAAUAUAAAUU